GGCGGUGUAGCUCAGCCUGGUUAGAGCGCUACGCUCAUAACGUAGAGGUCGGGAGUUCAAAUCACCCCACCGCCA
RNAcentral lists this transfer RNA (75 nucleotides) under Candidatus Woesearchaeota archaeon. RNAcentral describes it as "tRNA-Ile". It matches the Rfam family "tRNA". Rfam says of the family: Transfer RNA (tRNA) molecules are approximately 80 nucleotides in length. Their secondary structure includes four short double-helical elements and three loops (D, anti-codon, and T loops). Further hydrogen bonds mediate the characteristic L-shaped molecular structure. tRNAs have two regions of fundamental functional importance: the anti-codon, which is responsible for specific mRNA codon recognition, and the 3' end, to which the tRNAs corresponding amino acid is attached (by aminoacyl-tRNA synthetases). tRNAs cope with the degeneracy of the genetic code in two manners: having more than one tRNA (with a specific anti-codon) for a particular amino acid; and 'wobble' base-pairing, i.e. permitting non-standard base-pairing at the 3rd anti-codon position. Lineage: Archaea; Nanobdellati; Candidatus Woesearchaeota. The record is from RNAcentral.